UACGUAGGGUGCGAGCGUUGUCCGGAAUUAUUGGGCGUAAAGAGCUCGUAGGCGGUCUGUUACGUCUGCUGUGAAAACCCAGGGCUUAACCCUGGGCUUGCAGUGGAUACGGGCAGACUAGAGGCAGGUAGGGGAGAAUGGAAUUCCCGGUGUAGCGGUGAAAUGCGCAGAUAUCGGGAGGAACACCGGUGGCGAAGGCGGUUCUCUGGGCCUGACCUGACGCUGAGGAGCGAAAGCCAGGGGAGCAAACGGG
This 253-nucleotide ribosomal RNA is filed under the name uncultured bacterium. Its description in RNAcentral is "partial 16S ribosomal RNA". It matches the Rfam family "Bacterial small subunit ribosomal RNA", at positions 524 to 776 of the family's 1533-position model. The record is from RNAcentral.